AUAAAUACACAUUUAAAAAUAAAAAUAAAUAAAGAUAAAAAUUUAAAUAUGUGUAGUACCUUAAAAUGUAAAACAGAGAGAUUUGCAUCUCUGAAGAAACAUCAUUGGAAAAAAAUACUUUCUAGACUUUCUAAUGUACUCAGGUCGCAGAGAAAAGAUACGCAGUGAGAAUCUUUGCAGCUGUAGAAGAAAAAUGAGACAAUAGCUUUUCAUGUCUACUUGUUUAUUGCAAUUAUAUAUUACAAUAUUGGAAAUUUGGAGCUCUUGGUAGAAGCAAGAUAAAGAUGACAGGGUUUUUUUUUUUUUUUAUAAGCCUAUCACACAAAUAUAUGGUUUAUUCUGAAAGAAAAGUCUUAAUAUCUGAAAAAAUAAUUUUUUUUCUACAGGGGUAGAAUGAGAACUGUGAUAAUCUGGUAUAUCCAUUAAUGAAUGUCUGAGUGGAAUGGAGACAGAGAUAAUUACAGCAGGAAGUGGACACCAUUAUACUAGGCAUGUGUCAGGCUACAAGAGCCCUGCCAUACUGAAACUUACAAACUAGGUGUGAUAUCAUUUUGAAUUCACACCAAAUAUUAAAUAAUAAUCAAAUUUAUGAGAUGUCAUAAAGCAGUAUAGGAUUUUACAAAAAGAGAUAAUGUAAAUGCUUUGAGUUUAAAGGACAAAGAAAGUUCAUGAAAGAGAAGUAGUUUGAGUUAUACCCCAACUCAUUUGACAGAUUAAAUAAUUUUUAGAUCAAACCCUUGGUAUUAUCCCCAAUUCUCUUUUCUUUUAGUGAAUAACUGUGUAACAAAUCUUAUUACACACUGUCUUAGUGUCCUGCCAAGUAAUUUGUACUCUAUUAAGAGUUCCUUGUGCUUGCUUUCUAUUUAAAAUAACUGGAUAGGAAUCCUGAUUCCAUGCUAGGAAAUACCUACUCAUUUUUUUCUUUCUUUACAUUCUUUCUUUUAUUAGUUCUUAUUCUAAUCAUCCUCUGAAUUUUCUUACAAAAUGAUGCUACUUAGGAAUGAAGACUUGGUGUUUUUAACUGGUCUGGAAGAGCUGAUUAUUUAAUCAUAUUACAUAAUUUUGGAAAAUAAAGAUAGAAACAGUCAGAGUCAUAUACUAAGGAGAAUGCAGCCUCUGAAGGAUUAUAGAGACAUGGAAGUUGCAAGAGGUCUGACAACCAUUCCAAAGCCAGGAAAUUGUUCUCUGCACUCAGGGCCCCAUCUGCCACAGAGAGUCUUCUGCACGGAUGAAUUAUAGGAUUCCGGAUGUUAGCAGAAGAGAAUGCAAGAGGAGGGGAAUAAUGGUGCCUUCCUGGGAGGGGGCAGCAUAAUUUGAAAUAGAGGUUUGGAUACAUGCACUGCUUAUCAAAUCAGAGAGGUUACGCAAAUACACACAAAUACCCACCUUUUAGGCAUGUUUCUGAUCUCCAAGAGCUAUGGACAGUUUUGGGGAAAAGCAGCACCUGGGCUGCUUUGUCGUACUUUCCACUUAGACCUCCUUUCAUCUUGGUUUGCCUGCCCUCGUUACCUUCCUCAUUUUGAGAUACCACUUGUUUGCCCAUCAUGCCAUCUUCAUUCUGAUCCAUUCACUGGGACAACCCAAGACAGCUCUAGAUUGUGUGGCAUAUUGAGGUAUUCCUGGUGCAUACCUAAGCAGAUAUUAUGUGGAAAAAAAGUAUGUUGUAGUCUGAUUUAUGCCUGUUGUCUGGGCACUUAUGAGGAGGGCAGGUUCUGGACAUGUUUUCUGUGCUUCCACGUCAAUAUAAAUGCAGCAGUGUGCCAUCUGGGACUAUGCUUUCUGUAUUUCAUCACGGAGACAAUUCUCCAAAGAGAAGCAGCAACAGGAAAACACAGAUACUAAUUACUCAACAAUAAGCCUCUGUUUUACAUAAACAGCCAAGUUGUAGAAAUAAUAAGCUAUCACUGUAGAAUUUCAUAUGACCAUACAUAAGCAAAAAAGAGUUCUUUUUAUAGUUGCUGAUAUUAUUGCUUUCCAUCCUAAUUACCUCAGGCAUCCAUGUUUCCAGGAGAAUGCAACACAUAGAAACAUUCCACUUUAAACAAACACUACAUAAAUUUCUCCAAGCACAAAAACAAAGAUGCAUAUUGACCUCAGGCACGAAAGUGAGCGAAUUAUUCUCUGCCAUCACAUAACUUGAAUGUGGUGAAACAGGUUUUAUUUAUUGUAUUGCUUUGAAAAAAAAGAAUCAUUCUGCUCCAACAUGGAAAAGAUUGUGUAGUUAGGAUAUUUCUAAGAGUUUAGAUUCUAUUAAAAAUCUAUUUUAACACUCUGUCCCACCACAAUACUCAGUACUUUAAAGGGAUUCUUUAUUGUAUUAUGAAAAGCACAUGAAAUUUUGCAUUAAAAUUGCAAAGAUUAGCAGUGGUUGCAAUGUAGGUGUGAAUCUUAUGUACAUGUUUUUAAAAAGAGGGUGGAUAUGAAGGUUUAUGAAAGCCAUUUUGGCCAUCAUAUUGAGGAAGUUAAGAAAGAAAACAAAAGCAGGGAUAAGAACUGGCCAGAAAGAAAAAUCAACACUUCUAGGCAAUAAUGAUGCAAUCCUCAGGUCCAGUCAUCCUGAAACCAGGUCCUUUCUUAACUUUCUUCUUAUGUGAGUUAAGACAUUAUAACUUUUGCACAGGCUAAAAUGCUUUAGGUUUUGUCAGUUGCCUAAUACAAACUGGAGCCGUAUCUGUGAUUGGAGCUGUGAAUAAAAACUGAAUGAAUAUCA
Molecule: long non-coding RNA, 2710 nt
Organism: Felis catus (domestic cat)
Lineage: Eukaryota; Metazoa; Chordata; Mammalia; Carnivora; Felidae
Exons: 2
Source: RefSeq, a predicted model, not a curated record